UACGAAGGGGGCUAGCGUUGCUCGGAAUUACUGGGCGUAGAGGGCGCGUAGGCGGACAGUUAAGUUGGGGGUGAAAGCCCGGGGCUCAACCUCGGAAUUGCCUUCAAUACUGGCUGUCUUGAGUGUGAGAGAGGUGUGUGGAACUCCGAGUGUAGAGGUGAAAUUCGUAGAUAUUCGGAAGAACACCAGUGGCGAAGGCGACACACUGGCUCACUACUGACGCUGAGGCGCGAAAGCGUGGGGAGCAAACAGG
Molecule: ribosomal RNA, 253 nt
Filed under: uncultured bacterium
Lineage: Bacteria
Description: partial 16S ribosomal RNA
Rfam family: Bacterial small subunit ribosomal RNA
Source: RNAcentral